This 506-nucleotide long non-coding RNA is filed under the name Capsicum annuum. RNAcentral describes it as "long non-coding RNA (CANN_LNC003636)". The record is from RNAcentral. Lineage: Eukaryota; Viridiplantae; Streptophyta; Magnoliopsida; Solanales; Solanaceae.
CGGUGUAUUUCCCUAGCUGCGCAAGAGAGUUGGCUUUUGCUCUAACAAGCAAGGCAUCCUGAGCUGCCUUCACAUUUUCUGGUCUUCCACUCCAAGUCUUGAGGCAUGUGUUCUGAAGGGCUCUGGCAUAUGAGAACGACACGUGCCAUGGGUUGGGACUUUGGUUCAUGGCGUUCAAGUUAAGAGUUGCCUCAACUUCAGAUUGUCCGCCAGACAAAAACUGUUUAUUAUAAAUUAUGAAAAAGGUUAUCGAUCAAGUUCUUGGAAGUAAGGAAAAAAAAUUGAUAUAGCGGAAAUCUAGAUACUUGCCAUGAUCCCUGGGACAGCAGGAGGGAUUCUUUGGCGGAGGAGAUUGAGGGUGUAGUCAGCAACUUGCUGUGGGGUGGCCUUCUCCUUGCACUCAGCUCCAGGGGUGACCAUGCUGGGCUUCAACAAGAUACCUUCAAACAUGACAUUGUUCUGGGAAAGGUAGAAGAAAACUUCAGCCCACACCUGCUUGGCGACUU